GUUCCCCUGCUGUGUUCGUGAUUCCGACUGGAAGCUGUUGAGCCAACGCAACGGUAAAUGGGAGCCUUCCCUGGCCCCGGACCGAGCUCCCCCCCGCGGGGAACCGACGAAGGGACCACAGGGCGCCCACCUUUCCAUCCGAGGUUCAACCGAACCUUAAGGAACACGGCACAAGCGGGGGACUU
RNAcentral lists this non-coding RNA (185 nucleotides) under Candidatus Dadabacteria bacterium. Its description in RNAcentral is "6S RNA". It matches the Rfam family "6S / SsrS RNA". Rfam says of the family: E. coli 6S RNA was the first non coding RNA to be sequenced, but its function was unknown until recently. It consists of 184 nucleotides that fold into an extended hairpin structure with a large single-stranded internal bulge. The record is from RNAcentral. Lineage: Bacteria; Pseudomonadati; Thermodesulfobacteriota; Candidatus Dadabacteria.